This 412-nucleotide ribosomal RNA is filed under the name Enterococcus faecalis. RNAcentral's name for it is "bacterial SSU rRNA". It matches the Rfam family "Bacterial small subunit ribosomal RNA", at positions 1121 to 1533 of the family's 1533-position model. The record is from RNAcentral. Lineage: Bacteria; Bacillati; Bacillota; Bacilli; Lactobacillales; Enterococcaceae.
UCAUUUAGUUGGGCACUCUAGCGAGACUGCCGGUGACAAACCGGAGGAAGGUGGGGAUGACGUCAAAUCAUCAUGCCCCUUAUGACCUGGGCUACACACGUGCUACAAUGGGAAGUACAACGAGUCGCUAGACCGCGAGGUCAUGCAAAUCUCUUAAAGCUUCUCUCAGUUCGGAUUGCAGGCUGCAACUCGCCUGCAUGAAGCCGGAAUCGCUAGUAAUCGCGGAUCAGCACGCCGCGGUGAAUACGUUCCCGGGCCUUGUACACACCGCCCGUCACACCACGAGAGUUUGUAACACCCGAAGUCGGUGAGGUAACCUUUUUGGAGCCAGCCGCCUAAGGUGGGAUAGAUGAUUGGGGUGAAGUCGUAACAAGGUAGCCGUAUCGGAAGGUGCGGCUGGAUCACCUCCUUU